Molecule: long non-coding RNA, 3280 nt
Filed under: Equus caballus (horse)
Lineage: Eukaryota; Metazoa; Chordata; Mammalia; Perissodactyla; Equidae
Description: lncRNA (ENSECAG00000053020.1)
Source: RNAcentral
GUCAGUAACUAUGUCCACUGUCUGCCAUUACUUAGCAUAUAGCAGACACUCCAGGGACAUUUGCUGAAUGAAUGAAUGAACCAAUGAGUAAGUGAGAUAGGAUCUCCAUAGGUCCCUUCAGUCUCCAGCUCCUGAAACUUAAAACUCGUGUCAGCACAGGGAGGAGCUGACGCUGGAUUCCCCUUGAGGGCUUUGGUGUUGAAAUGGGAGAAAUUACCCAUAGACAUGGGUGUGACCCCUUUAUGACUUUUUAAAAGUCAUAAUCAUAAAUCAUAAGCCCAUGUGGCCCACACUCGGAUGUCAUUAAGUUAGCCUGGGUGGCUGCAUUAUUCCUGCAAAUUCACUCGACUUUCAGAGAGCAGUGAGGUGAUGGUGCUGGUGGUGGUGGUGGUGGUGGGAGUGUGGAAUUGAGCAGAAAAACAGGAAUAGCAAAGGGUGACCUUUGUUCCCCACUCAAGAGGAGCCAGGCGCGGUUCUGGGAGCUCCACUCGUUUGAUGCCUGGAAUGUGAGGGGGCAGUGGUGAAGUUCAUCGACUCCAGAAUCAAAUGCCUGAGUGAAAAUCCCAGCUCAGACAUUCUUGUGUGAUUUCCAGCAAGUCAGUUAACCCCCAGCACCUCGGUUUCCUCAAGUGUAAGCUUGGAUGAUGCCUGAACCUGCCUCACAGAACUGUGGAAAUGAUUAAGUGAAUCAACGCUGGGAGGGGCUCAGAACAGCGCCUGGCACAGAGCAAGCGCAACUUGUGUGCUUGGUAUUUUCAAAUAACAACAAACCAUAUUUGCUCAAGGAACAGACUUUGGUUGGAAAGUUCUUUUAAUCGGUUCCUGGGUGGCCAGACAAGCAGUCCGCUCUGCUUAGAACUAGGAGACUCUAGCUCCAGCCUCGGCCCUGCCCUUACUGGCUGUGUGAUUUGGGGAAAGUUACUGGAUCUUUCUGAGCCCCAAUUCACACGUGUGUGAAAUCAGCUGUGGUCCUUCUUCACGAGAUUCCCAUGAGCAUUCAGUGAAAUCCUGGCUCAAGUGGCUGAACCUGAGUCUCUUCUUUACAGCCAAUUAAUCUAAGAUCCACACAGGCCAAUCGAACAUCAGGGCAGCGAUCGUGUUUCUCUGAGCUCAGCACAGGCCGCUAUUAGAAGCCCGAGGAGUCGUUAAUAACACAGCCUCACUGUCUUUUCCCCUUUCCUGCCGUGGGCCGCUGAGGAGCUGGAACUGUGUUGUCCACAGUGGGGCUGGGGCGGCAUUGAAGGAGCGUCAGGAGCUCUCGGUCCCGACAGAGAAAACAAUAUGCCUGUGCUUCUCCAAGGGCCGUGCUCUCCACCACAAACAUACCGGGGCCCCGUUCCGGGGUGUCACAUGACUUUCCUGAGCUGGAGGAAAGUCCACCUUCCUCGUGGAUCAGGGACCGUCUUGGGUGGCGUCUUGGCUGCACUGGCCGAGGGCAGAUUGUGCUUUGUGAGGGGGAUUUGCGCAGAAUCGAUUUAUGCUCUUAGGUUGGCUGGCGCGGCCGAACAAAGGAUGGAAGCGGAGCUGUGGAGGCUGCAGGGAGGUGAGGAGGAGCGGGCGGAGAGCAGCACAGGAGGGACCCUCCCGCCCCGUGGCGUGGAGAUGCUCCUCUGCACACAGGCUGCGGCGGGGGCCUGCCCACCUGCUGCUGCCGUCUUGUUUCCAAGGACCGGCUCCAGAAAGGGGGUUAUGGGGCCAGGGCUAAUGGUGGAAUGGGGCACCUCUAAGGCACAGCUCCUGAAAGCGUGGCCUGGGGGCCACCUGCUGGUCAGGAGGGGCCUUCCUUAUGUUCUUCCCGGCAGAUGGUCAGGAAUUCUCCGGACUUUCAUCUUUACAUACAAGUAAGGGAAGCAAGAAGCAACUUAUUAAGCUGUUAUAAUCAUUAAGUUGGGGUCCAUGGGACAGGGAAAAAAUAUUAACAAUGCAUGUCCCUCUCUGCCCUUCUAAGCGGGGUUGAUGGACGGAUGGGUUGACUGACACGCUCUCCGAUCUUUAUAGUUUUGGUCAGGGGAAUGGGUUAUAGUUACAUGACAAAGACACAGUGAAAACAUGCAGCAAAGAGAAGAGACCUUAAAGGCGAGGGAAGGUGGGACAGAGGAGGGGGCAAGGGCUGUUAGGGAGAGCGAGGUUGGGUCAGCUGCUGCUUCGCGUGGGACUUUGGGGAGAGGUCCGAGCACAGAGGACACUUAUGUUGUGGCCAGCCACGUCUCCUGAACCCCAUUCCUGUAUAUGGGGACACGCCCACUGCUGAGUCCUGAGCUAGUUCAGGUCCCACGGGCAGCAGAGGCCCAGCUGGAAUUAGAUGUGCAAGAGACUUAUUGGGUGUGAUGCCUGUGAUGGACGAGAGGGAGACCGAGCAGGCGGCGGGAGAUGCUUCAGCCCACAGUGCGGAUGUGACACCCGAGAAAGGAGAAGCAGAAGGAAGGCGGGUUGGGCAGAAAGAGGCUCAGCCUGCAGGGCAACAAGCAGGAAGUCUUGGCCAGCUGACAGGGAGCCCCGGCAUGAAGAUGACCCUUUGGAGGAGCCGGCUUGGGGCCGGCAUGGCCUGCUCUGGCAGCCCCGCCCUGCUCCACUGUUGUCUGGGGACAGAAAGGAGGGAGGUCUGAGCAGUGCACCCCCACGGCGGCCACAAACUUGAGAGGAGGGACAGAGCAGCCCCAAAGGGGGCGGGUUCUGGCGGCAGAAGUCCUCCGCGGGAGUGAGGGGUAGAAGGCGAGGAGGGUCCCAGGAUGACGGCCCAGGGGGCCCCAUGGGAUGGAAGCAGAAGCAUGGUUUCAAACAGGCUGCCGUGUGGGCCACUGCCUCAACCUGCCACUGCCUCCACCUGCGGGUUCUUAAGACGCCCCUGGCUGCCACAAGGCCCCGUAUCUUCCCACAAAGCCCCAGUCGGUGUGGCAACAGCUUGCGGUCACACGCUCGCGGUUCUCAGUGCUGCUGUGCGUUGGAUCCCCUGGGUGGCUGAGGCCUGCCUCCCAGAGCUGCUGACCCAUUGGUCUGGGAGCAGCUGGGCACCAGGACUUGUGUGAGUUCCCAACGAGAUUCCCACGUGCAGCAGGCCGAGAGCCUCCCGUCCACACCAAGAGUGAUGGGCAGUUUGAUCGUUCCUAUUGCCUCCAACAGCUUGUGCUGUCCAAGUGUGUGUGUCCGUGCCUGUGUCCCAGCUCCGGGGACCUCCAGUGCUGGGCACCAAGGACUUGGACACUCCCAUUCAGGGGUCUCAUUAAACCCACGCCGGGAUCCUUUAUUGGCGGGUGUUAGAUGUUUCUAGAAGCACCACCAG